UAGUCCACGCCGUAAACGAUGUGUGCUAGAUGUCGGGUCCAUAGGAUUCGGUGUCGCAGCUAACGCACUAAGCACACCGCCUGGGGAGUACGGUCGCAAGAUUAAAACUCAAAGGAAUUGACGGGGACCCGCACAAGCGGUGGAGCAUGUUGUUUAAUUCGACGCAACGCGAAGAACCUUACCUACACUUGACAUACUCGUCGGGACUUUCAGAGAUGAUUGUCUUCGGUUCGGCCGGACGAUGUACAGGUGCUGCACGGCUGUCGUCAGCUCGUGUCGUGAGAUGUUUGGUUAAGUCCCAUAACGAGCGCAACCCCUAUCCUUAGUUGCCAGCGGGUCAUGCCGGGGACUCUGAGGAGACUGGCCACCGUAAGGUGUGAGGAAGGUGGGGAUGACGUCAAAUCAGCACGGCCCUUAUGUCCAGGGCUACACACGUGUUACAAUGGACGGUACAGAGGGUUGCCAAGCCGCGAGGUGGAGCUAAUCUCAUAAAACCGAUCGUAGUCCGGAUUGGACG
RNAcentral lists this ribosomal RNA (517 nucleotides) under uncultured bacterium. RNAcentral describes it as "bacterial SSU rRNA". It matches the Rfam family "Bacterial small subunit ribosomal RNA", at positions 791 to 1304 of the family's 1533-position model. The record is from RNAcentral.